RNAcentral lists this ribosomal RNA (523 nucleotides) under uncultured bacterium. RNAcentral describes it as "bacterial SSU rRNA". It matches the Rfam family "Bacterial small subunit ribosomal RNA", at positions 774 to 1294 of the family's 1533-position model. The record is from RNAcentral.
AGUAAAUAGAUACCCUGGUAGUCCACGCCGUAAACGAUGUCGACUUGGAGGUUGUGCCCUUGAGGCGUGGCUUCCGGAGCUAAACGCGUUAAGUCGACCGCCUGGGGAGUACGGCCGCAAGGUUAAAACUCAAAUGAAUUGACGGGGGCCCGCACAAGCGGUGGGAGCAUGUGGUUUAAUUCGAUGCAACGCGAAGAACCUUACCUACUCUUGACAUCCAGAGAACUUAGCAGAGAUGCUUUGGUGCCUUCGGGAACUCUGAGACAGGUGCUGCAUGGCUGUCGUCAGCUCGUGUUGUGAAAUGUUGGGUUAAGUCCCGCAACGAGCGCAACCCUUAUCCUUUGUUGCCAGCGGUUAGGCCGGGAACUCAAAGGAGACUGCCAGUGAUAAACUGGAGGAAGGUGGGGAUGACGUCAAGUCAUCAUGGCCCUUACGAGUAGGGCUACACACGUGCUACAAUGGCGCAUACAAAGAGAAGCGACCUCGCGAGAGCAAGCGGACCUCAUAAAGUGCGUCGUAGUCC